CCUAAAACCACCCCAAUGAAGACGGAGCAUGUUAAGUGGGCAUGGAGUGCUGCCUUGCUGCUCCCCUGGGCGGGGGGAGGGUUAGGAAUCCUGAAGAGGGGACUCGAUGCUGCAAAAUUUUGUUGCAGAUCUAACUUGCUUUUUCUGUUUCCAGUGUUCAUAAGAACAUAAGAAGAGCCUGCUGGAUCAGGCCAAAGGCCCAUUAAUCCACCACCCUGUUCUCACAGUGGCCAACCAGUUGCCCAUGGGAAAUCCACAAGCUCCCCUCGCACAGUUUCCAGCAACUGGUAUUUUGAACAUACUGCCUCUGACUAUGAAGGUACAACAUGGUGAACGCUGUCCAUCUCUCUGUAAAAACCAACAUCAACAUGGAAAUUCAACAUCGUCUGAGCUCUGCGAGUGCUGCAUUCUCCCAAAUGAAGCGUAGAGUGUUCGAGGAUCGGGAUAUUCGCAGGGAGACCAAAAUGCUUAUCUACAAAGUCUUUGAAACAUGGACCAUCUAUUAGCGCCACUCCUAACUUCUUGAAAGAUUCCACCAAUGCUGCCUCCGGAAAAUUCUGCAAAAUGGGAAGAUAGAUGAACUAAUGUUACCAUAUUGGUAGAAGCAAACACCACCAGUGUUGAAACAAUGAUCUUUCAACAUCAACUUUGCUGGACCGGCCAUGUUGCUCAUACGCCUGAUCACCAUCUUCCAUAACAGCUACUCUACUCCCAACUUAAGGAUGGAAAAUGGAAUAUUGGUGAACAGCAAAAGAGGUUUAAAUAUGUUCUUAAAAAUAAUCUAAAAAAAUGUAACAUGAGCAUCAAGAAUGUGAUCCAUUCAGAGUGGGAUCAGGCAUAAAACAGAAAUACAUCAUUUGCCAUUUUCAUGGUCAUGAUUCUAUACCUUGUUGAGGGGAAACUUCCCACUGGUGUGGAAAUCACAUAUCGAACAGAUGGAAAGCUUUUUAAUCUCAGUAGGCUGAAAGCAAAAAGUAAGGGCUCUUCAGUAACUGAAAACUCUGCUGAAGCUAGCUCCCAGCCAUGUCCAACACCCCUGUGGAAGACUGUAUCAUUAGAAAACAUUCACAUGCAGAACUCUGCAGAUCUGACAAGAAAGCAUCCAGGGCAUAUCAUCCUUAGAAGCAUCCUAGGCAUUCAAACCCAUGAAACAGACAAUAUUUUACCAAGAAAAUGGAAGACAGCAAUGAAAUGCAUUGUCAGAGCAGCAGUGUAUGCCAUUUUGAAGCAUUGUUUAAUGCAAAAUAUGUAUAAUUCUUGUGAGGGAUGCCUAAUUCAGGCCCCAUCUCAGAAAAGACAUAACUGUCUGAACUGGUCAAAUCCUGUCCUUUCUAGAAUGUUGAGAAUUAUAUGUGGAAAGAUCUGUUUUAAAAGUGUGCUCCAUGUGGUUAUCUUAGCAGCAUACAGUCUGAAUUGUCUUGUUCUAACACAAGCAACUGUUGAUGCAGU
Long non-coding RNA from Rhineura floridana, 1449 nucleotides. RefSeq lists it as uncharacterized. The record is from RefSeq and is a predicted model, not a curated record. Lineage: Eukaryota; Metazoa; Chordata; Lepidosauria; Squamata; Rhineuridae. The transcript has 4 exons.